This is a long non-coding RNA of Perognathus longimembris pacificus (Pacific pocket mouse), 151 nucleotides long. RefSeq lists it as uncharacterized. The transcript has 3 exons. The record is from RefSeq and is a predicted model, not a curated record. Lineage: Eukaryota; Metazoa; Chordata; Mammalia; Rodentia; Heteromyidae.
GGGAAAUAAGAGCAAAGAGAACACAAUUAAAAUUUCCUUGUUAUAAUGACAACUGAAAAUAUGCAUCACUUCCUUCUGUUUACUGAUUAUUAGAUAAUGAAAUUGCAAAAUUUAUGGCCUUAAAAAUGAACAACAUAUAUUAAACACAGUG